CUGUUGGGUAGGGGAGCGUUGUGUAAGCGGAAGAAGGUUCAUCGAGAGGUGGGCUGGACGUAUCACAAGUGCGAAUGCUGACAUAAGUAACGAUAAAACGGGUGAAAAACCCGUUCGCCGGAAGACCAAGGGUUCCUGUCCAACGUUAAUCGGGGCAGGGUGAGUCGGCUCCUAAGGCGAGGCUGAAAAGCGUAGUCGAUGGGAAACAGGUUAAUAUUCCUGUACUUGGUAAAGCUGCGAUGUGGGGACGGAGUAGGUUAGGUUAUCGCACUGUUGGAUAUGUGCGUUUAAGUUGGUAGGUGGGAAGUUUAGGCAAAUCCGGACUUCCUUAACACAGAGAGAUGAUGACGAGGCUCUACGGAGCUGAAGUAACUGAUACCACACUUCCAGGAAAAGCCACUAAGCGAAAGGCUUUACUAAACCGUACUGAAAACCGACACAGGUGGUCAGGUAGAGAAUACUCAGGCGCUUGAGAGAACUCGGGUGAAGGAACUAGGCAAAAUAGCACCGUAACUUCGGGAGAAGGUGCGCUUACAGUAAUUGUAGUCCCUUACGGAUGAAGGUGAAGUAAGUCGAAGAUACCAGCUGGCUGCAACUGUUUAUUAAAAACACAGCACUCUGCAAACACGAAAGUGGACGUAUAGGGUGUGAUGCCUGCCCGGUGCUGGAAGGUUAAUUGAUGGUGUAAUCGAAAGAGAAGCACCUGAUCGAAGCCCCAGUAAACGGCGGCCGUAACUAUAACGGUCCUAAGGUAGCGAAAUUCCUUGUCGGGUAAGUUCCGACCUGCACGAAUGGCAUAAUGAUGGCCAGGCUGUCUCCACCCGAGACUCAGUGAAAUUGAAAUCGCCGUGAAGAUGCGGUGUACCCGCGGCUAGACGGAAAGACCCCGUGAACCUUUACUAUAGCUUGACACUGAACAUUGAAUUUUGAUGUGUAGGAUAGGUGGGAGACUUAGAAGCAGUCACGCCAGUGAUUGUGGAGUCAUCCUUGAAAUACCACCCUUUAACGUUUGAUGUUCUAACGAAGAUUGCGGAACGCGGUCUCGGACAGUGUCUGGUGGGUAGUUUGACUGGGGCGGUCUCCUCCCAAAGCGUAACGGAGGAGCACGAAGGUUUGCUAAUCACGGUCGGACAUCGUGAGGUUAGUGCAAUGGUAUAAGCAAGCUUAACUGCGAGACAGACAAGUCGAGCAGGUACGAAAGUAGGUCAUAGUGAUCCGGUGGUUCUGAAUGGAAGGGCCAUCGCUCAACGGAUAAAAGGUACUCCGGGGAUAACAGGCUGAUACCGCCCAAGAGUUCAUAUCGACGGCGGUGUUUGGCACCUCGAUGUCGGCUCAUCACAUCCUGGGGCUGAAGUAGGUCCCAAGGGUAUGGCUGUUCGCCAUUUAAAGUGGUACGCGAGCUGGGUUUAGAACGUCGUGAGACAGUUCGGUCCCUAUCUGCCGUGGGCGUAGGAUGAUUGAUUGGGGCUGCUCCUAGUACGAGAGGACCGGAGUGGACGCAUCACUGGUGUUCCAGUUGUCUCGCCAGAGGCAUUGCUGGGUAGCUAAAUGCGGAAGAGAUAAGUGCUGAAAGCAUCUAAGCACGAAACUUGCCAAGAGAUGAGUCAUCCCUGACUUUAAGUCAGUAAGGGUUGUUGUAGACUACGACGUAGAUAGGUCAGGUGUGUAAGUGUAGUGAUACAUUGAGCUAACAGAUACUAAUUGCCCGAGAGGCUUAACUAU
This 1722-nucleotide ribosomal RNA is filed under the name Haemophilus influenzae. RNAcentral describes it as "bacterial LSU rRNA". It matches the Rfam family "Bacterial large subunit ribosomal RNA", at positions 1221 to 2925 of the family's 2925-position model. The record is from RNAcentral. Lineage: Bacteria; Pseudomonadati; Pseudomonadota; Gammaproteobacteria; Pasteurellales; Pasteurellaceae.